GCGGCUGUGGGCCUUCCUGCACAGCGCGUCUUGCAGCGGGCUGGAGCCCGCUUAGUCAGCGCCACAUCUGGCCCGUUUAGUUUUCUGCUUGUGUCUCCUUAGCAGGUUUUCCUGGGGUGUUGCUUAAGCAACCGACUUGUGGGGGUGGGGUGGGUUUGGGCGGGGCGAGUGCGUAGCGCUGGUGUUUUCUUUUCUGGCGCGCGGUGGUGGUGGUUCUUGCGGUUAGGCUGUGGUGUAGGUUGGUGCUUGGGUUAGGUCUGGCGGUGUUUUUCUGCAACCCCUCCCAGGGGGCGGGGGCGGCCAGCCUCCUGCUCUGUCUGCCGGGUCGGGGUGGGGUGGGGUGGGAUGGAUGGGGGUGGUUGGUGGCAGUUUCGAGGUGUUUGCUUUCGGUUUCUUCUCUUUUCUUCUCUUCUUGCCCUGUCAGGGUUCUGGUCUCGGGGACCAGGCUGCUUUCAGGCAGCAGGGGGGCAGCGCGUCUGCCCCUGUUCAACCUUGUAAGGAUGAUUCCUCAAAAAAAAAAGCGGCGCCGCCAGUGACGGACGCGGGCUUCAUGCUGGGGGACCGCAUGGGUAUGUGGGCCUCAGGCCCGUGGGGGGCGGGCACGCUGCUGUGGAGCACUUUGCGGGCCACCUUCUUGUACGCCGUCGUCUGGUGUGCGUACUGGUCCCGCGAGCCUGCUAAGCAGACGUCGGAGCACGUGGUUCGGGAGGUGGUCAGCGAGCUGCGCCAAGUGAUGCAGCUGCGUUUCACUGCCGCCACGCUAACCCCUGAAACCCUGUCGGCUCUGCCCACACAGAUUGCAUUGGUUACAAGAGGGACUUGCUGACGCGAGUCACGAGCGACAUCUGCUCUGGACCUCAGGGACGUGCCACCUGCAUCGCCGACGACCUACUCUAGUAGUAGGCUUGCUCUCGUAAGAGCUCCAUUUACCUCCGGUUCUGCUCCUAACAUCGAGUGCUAGGACCCUGCUCAAUCACCCGACCAACCAGAACUACUGGAUUUUUGGGAGUCCGCAGCAAACCUUCCGGACUGAAUUCAGUCAAAUCAACUAAGGCCUAAACUCGUCCAGCCCACUGCAUGUCCGUAGUCUAUUCAUUCCGAUUGCAAUCGGAGGGGUGUAUGGGGGUCGAACCCAUGACCUCGAGCGAAUCCGUCCCUUGACGCUAUCCACUCGAAGCGGAACCGCCCACACAGCUUCUCACCGCGCAGCUCCAGGCGGCUAAGCUGGAGCACUUUGUGGCCGUCUGGACGGCGGGUGGCGCGUUUUGUGAAGUGGAGGAGGUUCAGGGUGGGUCGCCAAAGUUGAACUUGCGGCUGACGCUUGCAUCACCUAUGCAGGCCCCCUAGGUUUCCUUUUGGGCGGCGUAUCUUUCCAGGCGCUGGCGUGGCGUUUUAUCAUCAUCAGCUUACCUGGCGCCCAUGAGUACUAGCUCUGGCUGGAGUCGCAGCGCCUGGGCGGCUGUGGGACUUCCUGCACAGCGCGUUGUUUGCAGCUUUCUUCUAUGUCUUGCAGCGGGCUGGACCCCGCUAAGUCAGCGCCACAUCUGGCCCGUUUAGUGUUUCCUUAGCAGGUUUUCCUGGGGUGUUGCUUAAGCAACCGACUUGUGGGGUUGGGGUGGGUUACGGCGGGUCGAGUGCUGGUAGCGCUGGUGGUUUCGCUUCUGGCGCGCGGUGGUGUGUUUUCAGGUGGUGGUGUAUCUUGCGGUCAGGUUUUGUUGUAGGUUGGUGCUCGGGUUAGGUUUUGCGGUCUUGUUUCUUCUCUUCUCUUUUCUUCUUGCCCUGUCGGGGUUCUGGUCUCUGGGGCCAGGCUGCGUCGGGUCCUUGUGCCCAGCAGUUGGGGGGCAGCGCGUCUGCUUCCGUUCAAUCCUGUAAGGAUGAUUCCUAAAAAAAAAAGCCACUUCCGCGCCUGCGUGUAAGCGGGGCACUCCAGGAAGACAUGCGUCAGGCUGGCCCACGCCCGCGGACCAGGUGGCCCGCAGGCGGGG
This 1985-nucleotide long non-coding RNA is filed under the name Chlamydomonas reinhardtii. RNAcentral's name for it is "long non-coding RNA (CREI_LNC001037)". The record is from RNAcentral. Lineage: Eukaryota; Viridiplantae; Chlorophyta; Chlorophyceae; Chlamydomonadales; Chlamydomonadaceae.